CUCUCUCUCUUUCUUGAUGAAGGGCAAAGCCAUGCCAAAUCUUGGCCUAAAAUCCUAAUUCCAAUUUCAUUUUGGAUCCUGAUGCUCAUUGUGCACCUUGUGAAUGUGUGAUCAUUGAUUUUGUGUUGUGGGUGGUGCUUAUUGUGGUUUAGAAGGCACUCCCUUAGAAUUAGUGGUUUCCAAAUACUUCCAUAGUUAAGUUGGUUUGAAGGGCCUCGGAUUUUUCCCAAUCAGUCUUUGGUCCUUUUAAUUUUUGUAGUGAAUUUUUUUGAGCAUAUACCUCUUACUGCCAACUUUCCAACGAGCUCAAGUUUGCUCAAUUUGGAGCUAAAACAAAUUUUUUGUGAAUUUUUGAGUGCGAGGGGGUUGGCUGCCUUAGCAGUUUGGGUCACCAGUCUUUCAAAAGACAUUUCUCAGUGCUGUUUACUUAAAAAAUUCUGAAAUUUUAAGAAUAAGAGCACAUAGAAGUUUAGCUUUCAAUGGAAUAAGUUUGAUUACGUUUGAAGCAGAUCCGAAUUUUUGGUGCAUUUUGGAGUGAAGGGUGGUAAGCUGCCAUGGCGGUCUCAGUUAUUCAACUUUGAAGGAGCAUUGCGCAUGCCUAAGGUAUUGGACUGCCACACAGUUCCUUGGAGAAAGAGCGGCUUUAAGUUAGGUUUCCAACCAAGCAAAAAUCAUCAGAAUUGAAGCUGAUACGAAUGGUUGGCGAAUUUUGGAGUAGAAGGGAGUUGUUGCUCUAAAUUCUUCGUCGUUAUCAAGGUGUGUUCUCUCCAUUCCUCUUAGUUUUUAUUUUCUCUUUUAUUUUUUCAGUAACUCGUAACUUCCAUAUGUAAACUUUGAACUUUAAAUUUUACUUAUUACUUUUUAGUUUUACUUUUUACUUUUAAAUUAAUCGGUAACUUUAUUUUUUUUUCAAAUUGUUAAAACUUAAACUUUUAAUUUUUACUUAAUAUUUUACCUUUACUAUGGUUUAAUAACUUAAUUAAUUACUCUUACCACCAAUUCUUUAAGAAGUAAUAAUUUAUAUAUUUAAAAUAAUAAAUAAUAAAUAAUAAAUAAUCAAAUAAAAAAAAUAAAAAAAAUAAAAAAAACCUAAUAAAAAAAUAAAAAUAAAGAAAAGAAAAUAUUUAAAAAUAAAUUAUAUAAUUAGAAUUAAAAGAAGGAAUUAUUUUGCAUAAAGUUUAAUGAGUGAAUUAUCAUUGUGAAUGUGAAGAAUGAUUGGAAGAUUUUAUUAAUAACCUGGUUUUUUAACAAUAAUAACUAAUGAUUGGAUUAAAAUUUGAAUAAUGGCCUUACUUUUAAAUUCUUCUAGUCAAGUCACUUUUUAUGAACUAAAACAAACUUCCAACUAGUGGAGGUUUAUUUAAGUUCACAACCAAUAUCUAGUAAAAGUACUCAUUUUUUUUAUACCUCUAUAGUCUUGCUUUAUAAUGAUAUUUUUCUAAUUUAUUUUUUUUAAUGCAAAUAAUACUUAAAUCAAAGGCAUCUAUAUCUUGUAAGAGUACCACCAUUUUCACACCUCCAUAGUCUUGUUGUACAAUGAUGCUUUUCUAAAAUCUUUUUUUUUUUUUUUUUUUUUUUUUUUUUGUCAAUGCCAAUGUUUCUAUUUACUCUCCAAUUGCAAGUAGUUUGGAAAUAUCCUCCUUUUCACAUGACCAAUCUAUUGCCAAGGUACACAAUUUGAAAUAAAAAGACUAAAUCUAAACUUCUCCCAUAUAGCCACAUACAUCUUGCAUGUAUCUUUUUUCUUAUUUCUUUGAUUCCAAAUUUCAUUUAAGAUGUCCAUAUAAUCUUUAAAUCCAUUUUCCAAGUCUUUAUAUUUAAAGAUUUUUAGAUUUUCCACCCUUAAAUUCCAUACUUGAUGAUGAACCUUAUCUUUGACAAAAUCCAAUUGUGUUCCCAUUACAUGUGCAUUAUCUAUAUAACUAUGACCUUCGUCCAAAAGAAAAGUGCUCACAAUUAAUUUAAUCAUAGUCAAUUACUUGGCAUCCUUAUUUUUUAUCCCAUAAUCUUUAUUUGCCACAUAAUCUUUUAUAACAUCUUUCAUAUCUUCUUGAAUGCAUCCUUGUAAAAUAUGAUAACCUUUUGUUGUCUCAAAGCAUUAUAUGACUUCAUAAUAUUCAAAAA
Molecule: long non-coding RNA, 2124 nt
Filed under: Physcomitrium patens
Lineage: Eukaryota; Viridiplantae; Streptophyta; Bryopsida; Funariales; Funariaceae
Description: long non-coding RNA (PPAT_LNC009444)
Source: RNAcentral